GGCAGAUGAUGUUUAUUCUCACAAGGGUCUUUAGAAGUCCACCCCAGGCAUGGCUCAGAAAGCUGGCUGGCAACACUGAUGCCAGAAA
Cavia porcellus (domestic guinea pig) is the source of this 88-nucleotide small nucleolar RNA. Ensembl annotates it as small nucleolar RNA SNORD35. Lineage: Eukaryota; Metazoa; Chordata; Mammalia; Rodentia; Caviidae. The record is from Ensembl.